AACGAACGCUGGCGGCAUGCCUAACACAUGCAAGUCGAACGAGACCUUCGGGUCUAGUGGCGCACGGGUGCGUAACGCGUGGGAACCUGCCCUUAGGUUCGGAAUAACUCCCCGAAAGGGGUGCUAAUACCGGAUAAUGUCUUCGGACCAAAGAUUUAUCGCCUUUGGAUGGGCCCGCGUUGGAUUAGCUAGUUGGUAGGGUAAAAGCCUACCAAGGCGACGAUCCAUAGCUGGUCUGAGAGGAUGAUCAGCCACACUGGGACUGAGACACGGCCCAGACUCCUACGGGAGGCAGCAGUGGGGAAUAUUGGACGAUGGGCGAAAGCCUGAUCCAGCAAUGCCGCGUGAGUGAUGAAGGCCUUAGGGUUGUAAAGCUCUUUUAACCGGGAUGAUAAUGACGGUACCGGGAGAAUAAGCUCCGGCUAACUCCGUG
This 433-nucleotide ribosomal RNA is filed under the name uncultured bacterium. RNAcentral describes it as "partial 16S ribosomal RNA". It matches the Rfam family "Bacterial small subunit ribosomal RNA", at positions 29 to 507 of the family's 1533-position model. The record is from RNAcentral.